This 497-nucleotide ribosomal RNA is filed under the name uncultured bacterium. RNAcentral's name for it is "partial 16S ribosomal RNA". It matches the Rfam family "Bacterial small subunit ribosomal RNA", at positions 28 to 507 of the family's 1533-position model. The record is from RNAcentral.
GAUGAACGCUGGCGGCGUGCCUAAUACAUGCAAGUCGAGCGAACGGACGAGAAGCUUGCUUCUCUGAUGUUAGCGGCGGACGGGUGAGUAACCCGUGGAUAACCUACCUAUAAGACUGGGAUAACUUCGGGAAACCGUAGCUAAUACCGGAUAAUAUUUUGAACCGCAUGGUUCAAAAGUGAAAGACGGUCUUGCUGUCACUUAUAGAUGGAUCCGCGCUGCAUUAGCUAGUUGGUAAGGUAACGGCUUACCAAGGCAACGAUGCAUAGCCGACCUGAGAGGGUGAUCGGCCACACUGGAACUGAGACACGGUCCAGACUCCUACGGGAGGCAGCAGUAGGGAAUCUUCCGCAAUGGGCGAAAGCCUGACGGAGCAACGCCGCGUGAGUGAUGAAGGUCUUCGGAUCGUAAAACUCUGUUAUUAGGGAAGAACAUAUGUGUAAGUAACUGUGCACAUCUUGACGGUACCUAAUCAGAAAGCCACGGCUAACUACGUG